Molecule: unclassified non-coding RNA, 253 nt
Filed under: uncultured Chlamydiales bacterium
Lineage: Bacteria; Pseudomonadati; Chlamydiota; Chlamydiia; Chlamydiales
Description: contains 16S-23S intergenic spacer region
Rfam family: Bacterial small subunit ribosomal RNA
Source: RNAcentral
UACGUAGGGUGCAAGCAUUAAUCGGAAUUAUUGGGCGUAAAGGGCGCGUAGGCGGGAAUGUAAGUCAGAUGUGAAAUCCCGGGGCUCAACCCCGGAACAGCAUUUGAAACUGCAUUUCUAGAGGAUAGGCGGAGAAAACGGAAUUCCACAAGUAGCGGUGAAAUGCGUAGAUAUGUGGAAGAACACCUGUGGCGAAAGCAGUUUUCUAGCUUAGACCUGACGCUGAGGCGCGAAAGCAAGGGGAUCAAACAGG